Molecule: ribosomal RNA, 401 nt
Filed under: uncultured bacterium
Lineage: Bacteria
Description: partial 16S ribosomal RNA
Rfam family: Archaeal small subunit ribosomal RNA
Source: RNAcentral
ACACCGGCGGCCCGAGUGGUGAUCGUGAUUAUUGGGUCUAAAGGGUCCGUAGCCGGUUUGGUCAGUCCUCCGGGAAAUCUGAUAGCUCAACUAUUAGGCUUUCGGGGGAUACUGCCAGACUUGGAACCGGGAGAGGUAAGAGGUACUACAGGGGUAGGAGUGAAAUCUUGUAAUCCCUGUGGGACCACCUGUGGCGAAGGCGUCUUCCCAGACCGGUGUCGAAGGGAAGGGACGAAAGCUGGGGGCACGAACCGGAUUAGAUACCCGGUUAGUCCCAGCCGUAAACGAUGCUCGCUAGGUGUCAGGCAUGGCGCGACCGUGUCUGGUGCCGCAGGGAAGCCGUGAAGCGAGCCACCUGGGAAGUACGGCCGCAAGGCUGAAACUUAAAGGAAUUGACGGGG